AGUGAACGCAGGCAGUAGGCCUAACACAUGCAAGUCGAACGGCAGCACAGGAGAGCUUGCUCUCUGGGUGGCGAGUGGCGGACGGGUGAGGAAUACAUCGGAAUCUACUCUGUCGUGGGGGAUAACGUGGGGAAACUUACGCUAAUACCGCAUACGACCUACGGGUGAAAGCAGGGGACCUUCGGGCCUUGCGCGAUUGAAUGAGCCGAUGUCGGAUUAGCUAGUUGGCGGGGUAAAGGCCCACCAAGGCGACGAUCCGUAGCUGGUCUGAGAGGAUGAUCAGCCACACGGGAACUGAGACACGGUCCAGACUCCUACGGGAGGCAGCAGUGGGGAAUAUUGGACAAUGGGCGCAAGCCUGAUCCAGCCAUACCGCGUGGGUGAAGAAGGCCUUCGGGUUGUAAAGCCCUUUUGUUGGGAAAGAAAUCCAGCUGGCUAAUACCCGGUUGGGAUGACGGUACCCAAAGAAUAAGCACCGGCUAACUUCGUGCCAGCCGCCGCUGUAA
RNAcentral lists this ribosomal RNA (506 nucleotides) under uncultured bacterium. Its description in RNAcentral is "partial 16S ribosomal RNA". It matches the Rfam family "Bacterial small subunit ribosomal RNA", at positions 29 to 523 of the family's 1533-position model. The record is from RNAcentral.